GUGCUUGCUUAGGCAGCACAUAUACUGAAAUUGGUACAACACAGGGAAGACGGGCAUUGCCCCUGUGCAAGGGUGACAUGCACAUUCAUGUAGCGUUCCAUAUUUUU
This is a small nuclear RNA of Echinops telfairi (small Madagascar hedgehog), 107 nucleotides long. The record is from Ensembl. NCBI's taxonomy places the organism in Eukaryota, Metazoa, Chordata, Mammalia, Afrosoricida, Tenrecidae.